Molecule: long non-coding RNA, 986 nt
Filed under: Equus caballus (horse)
Lineage: Eukaryota; Metazoa; Chordata; Mammalia; Perissodactyla; Equidae
Description: lncRNA (ENSECAG00000044129.1)
Source: RNAcentral
AAAUCUUCUUAAAAUUUUAGACACUAAAUGCUUGUGAUCUUGGCUUGGUCCUAAGUGAUCUUGUUUGGUUUAGUCAUUGUAGUCAGAUUUGAAUAAUCCUGUCAAGGCCCAGAUAUAGGGCUUCUGGGACAGGAUUUCAUUUGAAGCCAGAGAAUCCACAUCCUCCAAACCAUGAUGGGCUGUAGAAGCCACAUCUACAGCCUCCAUAGCCAAAGCCCAGUCUGCGGAAGCUGCUGCAUCCACAGCCAUAGCCAUGGCCCAGGCCACCAAAGCCACCAAAUCCGUAGCCCAGGCCUCCGUAGUAGUUGCUGUAGUGGCUCGUGGUGUCAGGGGUGCUUUCAUUCGUCUUCCCUUCUUCUCAAUCCCUAGGAGAAAGAACCAGGCUGUGAAGAUACUGACCUGUGUGAGAAUAGAAUAGUUUCAAAUGAAAUGCAGUUAUACCGGUCAAAGGUCCUCUAAUGGAGUUACCAGACUUUAUCUACUAUGUCCUCUCCUGUGAAAGCACAACACAGCACUGUGAAGGUGACAAGAGCUCACUAAGUUUCUUUAUCUUCAUGUUGUAUAAACAAAUCCAAAUGUUUCCAAUAAAAUCCAUGAUCUUGAGAAUUGAGUUGUAACAUUAUUCACUCUUGAUUUGCCUUGAAGUACAACUAAAUUAGAAAUUGAGAAGUAGAAGAUUAUAUACAAUAAAAUAAAAUUGUAACAAUAAAAAUGUAAAAGAAAACACAAUAAAAGGUAGUUAAUCUAACACAGGGAACUAAUCCCCAUAAAUUCAGCUAUAAAACUGUAGCUGUUCAGAAAUAUGACAAGACUUUCCAUAUGGUAUUCGAAUUUUUAAGUAUUCAAUCAAAGAGAGUAUGAUGGAGUAGAUCACCAGGAUUCAGGUGACCUGCUUUCUGAUCUUGGUUUUGACACUUGUGUUUAUGAUUCUAGGCAAGUCACUUAACUGUUUGGAGGGUUUUCUUUACCUGUACUGUAGAGGGCAG